This 773-nucleotide ribosomal RNA is filed under the name Streptococcus anginosus. RNAcentral's name for it is "bacterial SSU rRNA". It matches the Rfam family "Bacterial small subunit ribosomal RNA", at positions 28 to 776 of the family's 1533-position model. Lineage: Bacteria; Bacillati; Bacillota; Bacilli; Lactobacillales; Streptococcaceae. The record is from RNAcentral.
GACGAACGCUGGCGGCGUGCCUAAUACAUGCAAGUAGGACGCACAGCCUAUACCGUAGCUUGCUACACCAUAGGCUGUGAGUUGCGAACGGGUGAGUAACGCGUAGGUAACCUGCCUAUUAGAGGGGGAUAACUAUUGGAAACGAUAGCUAAUACCGCAUAACAGUAUGUAACACAUGUUAGAUGCUUGAAAGAUGCAAUUGCAUCGCUAGUAGAUGGACCUGCGUUGUAUUAGCUAGUAGGUAGGGUAAUGGCCUACCUAGGCAACGAUACAUAGCCGACCUGAGAGGGUGAUCGGCCACACUGGGACUGAGACACGGCCCAGACUCCUACGGGAGGCAGCAGUAGGGAAUCUUCGGUAAUGGGGGGAACCCUGACCGAGCAACGCCGCGUGAGUGAAGAAGGUUUUCGGAUCGUAAAGCUCUGUUGUUAAGGAAGAACGAGUGUGAGAAUGGAAAGUUCAUACUGUGACGGUACUUAACCAGAAAGGGACGGCUAACUACGUGCCAGCAGCCGCGGUAAUACGUAGGUCCCGAGCGUUGUCCGGAUUUAUUGGGCGUAAAGCGAGCGCAGGCGGUUUGAUAAGUCUGAAGUUAAAGGCUGUGGCUCAACCAUAGUUCGCUUUGGAAACUGUCAAACUUGAGUGCAGAAGGGGAGAGUGGAAUUCCAUGUGUAGCGGUGAAAUGCGUAGAUAUAUGGAGGAACACCGGUGGCGAAAGCGGCUCUCUGGUCUGUAACUGACGCUGAGGCUCGAAAGCGUGGGGAGCGAACAGG